This 1089-nucleotide ribosomal RNA is filed under the name Staphylococcus saprophyticus. RNAcentral's name for it is "partial 23S ribosomal RNA". It matches the Rfam family "Bacterial large subunit ribosomal RNA", at positions 497 to 1587 of the family's 2925-position model. The record is from RNAcentral. Lineage: Bacteria; Bacillati; Bacillota; Bacilli; Caryophanales; Staphylococcaceae.
AGUACCGUGAGGGAAAGGUGAAAAGUACCCCGGAAGGGGAGUGAAAUAGAACUUGAAACCGUGUGCUUACAAGUAGUCAGAGCCCGUUAAUGGGUGAUGGCGUGCCUUUUGUAGAAUGAACCGGCGAGUUACGAUUUGAUGCAAGGUUAAGCAGUGAAUGUGGAGCCGUAGCGAAAGCGAGUCUGAAUAGGGCGUUGAGUAUUUGGUCGUAGACCCGAAACCAGGUGAUCUACCCAUGACCAGGUUGAAGUUCAGGUAACACUGAAUGGAGGACCGAACCGACUUACGUUGAAAAGUGAGCGGAUGAGUUGUGGGUAGCGGAGAAAUUCCAAUCGAACCUGGAGAUAGCUGGUUCUCUCCGAAAUAGCUUUAGGGCUAGCCUCAAGUGAUGAUUAUUGGAGGUAGAGCACUGUUUGGACGAGGGGCCCUUAUCGGGUUACCGAAUUCAGACAAACUCCGAAUGCCAAUCAAUUUAACUUGGGAGUCAGAACGCGGGUGAUAAGGUCCGUGUUCGAAAGGGAAACAGCCCAGACCACCAGCUAAGGUCCCAAAAUAUAUGUUAAGUGGAAAAGGAUGUGGCGUUGCCCAGACAACUAGGAUGUUGGCUUAGAAGCAGCCAUCAUUUAAAGAGUGCGUAAUAGCUCACUAGUCGAGUGACACUGCGCCGAAAAUGUACCGGGGCUAAACAUAUUACCGAAGCUGUGGAUUGUCCGUAAGGACAAUGGUAGGAGAGCGUUCUAAGGGCGUUGAAGCAUGAUCGCAAGGACAUGUGGAGCGCUUAGAAGUGAGAAUGCCGGUGUGAGUAGCGAAAGACGGGUGAGAAUCCCGUCCACCGAUUGACUAAGGUUUCCAGAGGAAGGCUCGUCCGCUCUGGGUUAGUCGGGUCCUAAGCUGAGGCCGAUAGGCGUAGGCGAUGGAUAACAGGUUGAUAUUCCUGUACCACCAUUAUUCGUUUUAAGCGAUGGGGGGACGCAGUAGGAUAGGCGAAGCGUACGAUUGGAUUGUACGUCCAAGCAGUGAGAUUGAGUGUUAGGCAAAUCCGGCACUCUUAAGAUUGAGCUGUGAUGGGGAGAGGAAAUUGUUUCCUCG